UACAGAGGUCUCAAGCGUUGUUCGGAUUCAUUGGGCGUAAAGGGUGCGUAGGUGGCGCUGUAAGUCGGGUGUGAAAUUUCGGAGCUUAACUCCGAAACUGCAUUCGAUACUGCGGUGCUUGAGGACUGGAGAGGAGACUGGAAUUCCCAGUGUAGAGGUGAAAUUCGUAGAUAUUGGGAAGAACACCAGUGGCGAAGGCGGCUACCUGGACCAAUAUUGACGCUGAGGAGCGAAAGCCAGGGGAGCAAACGGG
RNAcentral lists this ribosomal RNA (253 nucleotides) under uncultured bacterium. RNAcentral describes it as "partial 16S ribosomal RNA". It matches the Rfam family "Bacterial small subunit ribosomal RNA", at positions 524 to 776 of the family's 1533-position model. The record is from RNAcentral.